Molecule: unclassified non-coding RNA, 224 nt
Filed under: plant metagenome
Description: partial contains small subunit ribosomal RNA and internal transcribed spacer 1
Rfam family: Eukaryotic small subunit ribosomal RNA (bases 1-46)
Source: RNAcentral
AAGUCGUAACAAGGUUUCCGUAGGUGAACCUGCGGAAGGAUCAUUAUCGAGUUAGGGUCUCCGGGCCCGAUCUCCAACCCUGUGUCUAUAUACCAUGUUGCUUUGGCGGGCCCGUCUACCGACCGCCGGGGGUCCUCGCCGACCCCGGGCCCGUGCCCGCCAGUGGCCCCUUCAAACCCUUGACCAAUUGUGAUGUCUGAGUACCAAACUUAAUAGUUAUAAAA